This 497-nucleotide ribosomal RNA is filed under the name uncultured bacterium. RNAcentral's name for it is "partial 16S ribosomal RNA". It matches the Rfam family "Bacterial small subunit ribosomal RNA", at positions 28 to 507 of the family's 1533-position model. The record is from RNAcentral.
GACGAACGCUGGCGGCGUGCCUAAUGCAUGCAAGUUGAGCGCUGAAGGUUGGUACUUGUACCGACUGGAUGAGCAGCGAACGGGUGAGUAACGCGUGGGGAAUCUGCCUUUGAGCGGGGGACAACAUUUGGAAACGAAUGCUAAUACCGCAUAAAAACUUUAAACACAAGUUUUAAGUUUGAAAGAUGCAAUUGCAUCACUCAAAGAUGAUCCCGCGUUGUAUUAGCUAGUUGGUGAGGUAAAGGCUCACCAAGGCGAUGAUACAUAGCCGACCUGAGAGGGGGAUCGGCCACAUUGGGGCUGGGACACGGCCCAACCUCCUACGGGAGGCAGCAGUAGGGAAUCUUCGGCAAUGGACGCAAGUCUGACCGAGCAACGCCGCGUGAGUGAAGAAGGUUUUCGGAUCGUAAAACUCUGUUGGUAGAGAAGAACGUUGGUGAGAGUGGAAAGCUCAUCAAGUGACGGUAACUACCCAGAAAGGGACGGCUAACUACGUG